UCGAGAAUCUUCGGCAAUGGGCGCAAGCCUGACCGAGCGACGCCGCGUGCGGGAUGAAGGCCCUUGGGUUGUAAACCGCUGUCAGAGGGGAUGAAGUGCCGGAAAGCUAUCUUUCCGGUUUGACAUAGCCUCAGAGGAAGCACGGGCUAAGUUCGUGCCAGCAGCCGCGGUAAUACGAACUGUGCAAACGUUAUUCGGAAUCACUGGGCUUAAAGGGUGCGUAGGCGGCCAUGUAAGUAGGGUGUGAAAGCCCCCGGCUUAACCGGGGAAUGGCGCUCUAAACUGCAUGGCUGGAGUGAGAUAGGGGUGUGUGGAACUUCCGGUGGAGCGGUGAAAUGUGUUGAUAUCGGAAGGAACGCCGGUGGCGAAAGCGACACACUGGAUCUCAACUGACGCUGAGGCACGAAAGCCAGGGGAGCAAACG
This 424-nucleotide ribosomal RNA is filed under the name uncultured bacterium. RNAcentral describes it as "bacterial SSU rRNA". It matches the Rfam family "Bacterial small subunit ribosomal RNA", at positions 355 to 774 of the family's 1533-position model. The record is from RNAcentral.